GGAAGACUCAGAUGGCUGGAGGUGGCUCGAAAGUCUGAGGUCUGAAGUCAUCUGGGGGCUUCUCUCACACGUCUGGUGCCUGGACUAGGAUGAUUCAGCGAUGACAGUGAGAGUAUCUACACAAGGCCUGUUUAUAUGGUUUGGGCUUCCUCACAACAUGGUGGCCUUGGGAUAACUGAGCUUACACAAAGUCUCAGGGCUGCAAACACAAGGGUUCCCUUCCCCAGUUAACAAGCCAGAAGCUGAUGGCUUGUGAUAACUUAGACUUGGGAGUUACAUAGCAUCGCUUCUCUGUACUCUUGGCUGAAGCAAUCACAAGCUUGCCAAUAUUCAAGGAAAGGAGACAUGGCAAGAGGAAGUGCGUCAAAGAAUUUGCGGCCAUGUUUUAAGACUAUUUUGUAUAUCCCAUCAAUUGCAGUAGCUGGUGAUAGAAACUGGGAUGGGGCUUGGUUCAGGAGGAGGGUUUAGAAGUGAUUUACCAAGUCCCAGGAUCUUCGCCUGAUACCACUACUCACUCACAUUACAGGGAAUCAGUGUGAGUCUUUUCCACUUUUUAAAUCUUCCAUUUCCCCAUGUGACAUUCAGGAUAUAAAAGGCUACAGGAUCAAACUUCUUCCCUUCUUUGCUGCUGGUGACCCUCCCUUUUAUGUGCAGCCACAGCUCACCACAUGGACAAAGGUCAAAAUGGAGUGUGGGCACCAACCAGCUUGGAAACUACCAGAGCAGAGGGGACUUGUGCAUCCAAUGUCUGUUGGGAACCCUGCUUUAUCAUGGCAUCCAGAGGCAAUGGGAGCCUCCUGGGCCCUGAGGGUAAUAAGGGGUCACCUGGCUUUCCCAAGGUCCCAAGGAGGCCAUGGGAGAUGUCGGGCAAGGCAGUGGUCCUGGAGAGUGUUGUGGGCAGUGUGAGGAGGAGGCUGAGUUCAUGGACUGAUGGUCACUGAAAAAAGGAUGUGGACAUAGCAGACACCAAUGAGGUGGAGUGACCGAAGGCCAUGGCUCAGCACCCUCUGUCCUCCAGCUCCCUGUCCCAGGCCACAGAAGCCCUUGGAACUAAGGAGCAACUCUGGGAAGACAGAUGAGAAAAUCCUGAAUAGGUCCACAGCUCCUGUCUUCAGGGCCUGCUUCCUGAAGGACCGCUGGAAAGUCACCACAUUAUCCCAGAGGGUGUCACACUCAGAAUUACAUUUCUCCAUCCCAGGAUGCCAAGAUCCAGCUGUGUCUCUGAUCCCCAUCUCCUCAGGUGAAGUUCACGCUCAUGGGCUGCCCUGCCUGAAAGGACAGAGGGAAACCAUUAUUACUCCAGCUGCCUGGAGAUCACGGUGCUGGUACCUCAUGGGAUCCCACCACGGCUCCUUCUCUGAUGAUCCUCAGCAAAGCAGAAGCUCACAGACAGGUGGACUCCACAGACUGGCAAUGGGCUCACCCUUAGUCCAUGCUGGGUGAAAAUGGGUGUAAAUAGGGGACCUGGGUGCUCACUCCUAGGCCAGUCCUUUCCUGCUGUGGGCUGUUUUCCCAUAAGCACCGCCUGUUAGCAGGCAUCCCUCCCCCUCCAUCUUGCUCAGCUGUUUUUAGUCCCUUCAGCUCAAGUCCCUAAUCUGGAACAUUGUCCCAGUGCCUCCAGUCCUCACAGUCUAACUCAUUUUAUACUCUGUGAUGGCACCACCCAAUGAGGACUCAACGUCCCUCCCGCAAAUGUCUGAAACGCCCAGUGAAACCCAGCUUCACUUCAUCACCUUGUUCACAGUCUCGUGCAUCUUCUAUCUCCCUGGGACAUCAGGACCCCUGGGGUGCUGCCCGUGUCUUACGCAUCGCUUGAACAUGGUGCUCCCCAGCCCAGGGCCUGCCUCUUGGAGCAUGCACAAAAAUGCACAUUGACCCAUUUCAGUGUGUGUCCAUCUCCUUCUGAACCUGACCUUGGUCUUGGUUGCAAGUGAUAGAAACUGAUACUGGCUAAGAAGCAGCAAAGGAGUUGAUUGGAAGAUUAUUAGUGAGCACGGGAGGCUCAGGAAGGCUGGAUACCAGGAGAGAAUGGGCAAGGGAGGCCAGAGGAAACAAGCCAGCACCACACCUCAGGAACUGGGGUUAGGAGGGUACUGCCCAGAUACCACCCCUACAGGCCACUCCUGUCACCACUGUGGAAAUCACUGCCAAGUGUGAAUUCUGGGCAAGAUGGUGGGUCAGAGGGGGUUGGACUGGCUAAACCUGGGUCACAUGUUCAACCCCAGACAGAAGUAGGGGGAUGUGGCCUCCCCAGCUUCUGGGGUGGGAUCCCCGAUUCACCCUCCCGGCCUACUCCAUAAGAGACUCCACCCACCAAUGUGGGAUGCUGAGCAGCACGCCAAAUGACAAGUGUCUAAGUCACAAGGGCUUCCCUUGUGGCUCAGCUGGUAAAGAAUCCGCCUGCAAUGUGGGAGACUUGGGUUUGAUCCCCUAGGUUGGGAAGAUCCCCUGGAGAAAGGAAAGGCUACCCAGUCCAGUGUUCUGGCCUGGAGAAUUCCAUGGACUGUAUAGUCCUUGGGGUCACACAGAAUCAGACACGACUGAGUAACUUUCACUUCAAGUUACUGAGAAUCUGCCAAGUGUUACUCUGGUGCUAGAAUAUGGACAUGAGGAAGCCAGGCACCAGCCAGGCAGGGAGGCUGGUAGGAAAGCAAUCCCAGAUCUGUUAGUCAUUUAUGGGCACCCACUCCAUGCCAGGGACUGUCCACGGGCUUUCUCAGACAUCAUCCCAUUUAAUCUGCACUGUGGUCAGAGCUCAACUAAAGGGGCUAAGGGUCAAGGGAGCAGUAGGUUGGCCAAGUUGUUACAACAGCAUCACAGAGAAGCUACCAUCUAGCUGGGUCUAAGAUACAGUAGGUAGACUCAAGGCAGAGAGAAGAAAAGGAAGGGCAUUCAAGGCAGAAGGAACAGCAUGUGUUAAAGCACGGAGGCACAACAACGUCAGAGCAUGCUCAGGUCAUCAUGGCUGCCUAGGAAUAAAGGGCACGCAGGUGCGCUGGGGGCUGUGUCAGAGAUGAGGAAGCCUCAAAUGAUAUGGCAAUAAAAAUAGCUACUCUUUCUCAAAACCUUAGUAAAUGGCAAUCUUUAUACAAGACCCUUCCUAUUUAUUGGUUUUUCCCUGGUGGCUUAGACAGUAAAGAAUCUGCCUGCAGUGCAGAAAACCCAAGUUUGAUCCCUGAGUUGGGAAGAUCUCCUGGAGAAGGGAAUGGCUACCCACUCCAGUAUUCUUGCCUGGAGAAUUCUAUGGACAGAGAAGCCUGGCAGGCUACAGUCCAUGGGGUCACAAAGAGUCAGACACAACUGAGCGACUAACACUUUCACGUUUUCACUUCAUAUUUAUUAUCUCCUUGAAUCAUCAUGUUUGCUUGAAGAAACUGAGGAUCAGAAAAGUUAAGUGAUUUGCUCAAGAUCACACAGCUAGGAAACUGGCAGAACCAGGACUUGAACCAGAGCCCAUGUAUCCACCACCAAAGCUGCCAGAAGUAACACGCAUGUCCUGCCAGUAAUUAUCUUCUGCAAGGACUUGUGGGAUUCCCUGUCUACUCCAUCUUCCUGUUCCAUGGAUAGUGACCUCCAUAGUUCAUUGGUUGCGGCUUGUCUUACCCUUUGCUCAAUCAGGUCACAUCAAGGAGGCUCCAGAAGAAUUCAUCCCUUUGCAUCAUGGUAUUAAAAAGUCACUUUCCUAUUACCACUUCUUAGUUCUGUAUUCAAGGAAGAGGAACUGCCCACAGAAUCUUUUGUGGGGAGGGGGGAUUCUUGAAAGGAGAAAAUACAGCCUCCUGCUUUGGUUGGGUCCUUUCAAGGUACUUCCAGACAGAGGGACAGAUGCAGAGGGCAUCUAUCAUGCUGGUUUUGUGCUAACCCAGCCUCCUCAUUUAAUAGCAUCAUGACCGUAGGCAAGUGGACUUAACCUUUGUGCCCCAAUUUCCUCAUUUAUAGAACAGAAUAUGAAACAGACUCAGUACAAUUUAACGCACAUCCAGUGUUGUUACCUCCGUGCAGAGCAUGGCCAGAGCUGUGAGAGCAAAUCUGUAAGGGCCAGGAAAAGAACAGGUCUGCCCUGGUUGAGGAAUCAGGAAAAUUUCUUCGAUAAAGUAGAAUUUGGGCCCAGCUUUCAAGAACAUGUAAGAUUGUAAAAUUCUGAUGGGGAAACAUCAGUUCAGGUGGAAGAAAUAGCAGAUGUCAAGGACUGGCGGUAAGAGAAGGGAGAGCCCUUUUGCACCGCAAAAUAAGUCCUGAUCAUCUGACAGUCUCUAAAUCUCUUUCUUCCCGAUGCUUCCUGACAGCUGUGUGUUUGAACAUAGAAAGAUCAGAGAAGUUUCUUUCAUUGACAGGCUGGUCUUAUGAGUUGGGUGAGGGUAGCAGCCCCUCCAUCCUGAGGCUUUCUCACCCAGGCUGACAUCUGCAUGAGACUUCACAGUACUGUAUAAAGACGCUAAUGUCCAGUCCUGCCCUAGAAAAGUCCAAACCGGGGACUGAAGGGAGGAAGCCAUUUCCUAGGAGAGCCAUGGAUCUAAGUCUCCACUCUUCUGCUCACUGUUUGUGUGAACUUAAACAAGUGGCUUCACAGCUCUGGUUUCCAUGUCUGUAAAAUGCGGAUGGUAAGAAUUGUAUCCAUUCCCCAGCAUCCCAGUGUGCCCUCACACUCUUUGUAUUGUCUUGAGGAGUAGGAGACCCAGGUGCCUGCCCUUUGGGAACUUCCUCUUUCUGCCUCCCAUCCUGUAGAGCCAAGGGGCCUCUACAGCUCAACGCCCAGGGAUGGGGGAGGCAACCAGAGAUUUUUGGUUCCUCUAGGGCACUCAGGAGAAUGUAACGAGCAAUUCCAGAUCCUGAGGCCCAUGACACUCACAGGGUCUGACUACUCAGAGCCUCUUCUCUAACUUUCCUCUCCAUUCUAUGAACUCCCUUUUGCCCUUCCAAUAAGUUUCUAGUUGGCUUAAGUUCACUGGAUCCCAGGUCAAUGACUUUCAGUCAAACAGUCCUCCUAACACAGCACUUUUAUCCAACUCAUAGAUUUUUUGUAGAGAUUAAAGAUGAAUGCACAUGGCUGGCACAUCACAAGGGGACCAUACAUGGUUGUUGUCACCAUGCUAUUCUCAGUUAAUCUCCAUAAUAACCCAUGCAUGAGGCAGGGGAGAGAUACCCAUUAGACAGAUGAAGAAACAGAGGCUCAAAGAGAUGAAGUGGCUAUCCUGAGUUUCCUCCCUAAAAGGUAGAGCAGGGACUCAAUGCCAGAGUGUCUGAUUGCAAUGUCGCUAUGCCAUACACUGUCC
RNAcentral lists this long non-coding RNA (5273 nucleotides) under Ovis aries (sheep). RNAcentral describes it as "lncRNA (ENSOARG00000026378.1)". Lineage: Eukaryota; Metazoa; Chordata; Mammalia; Artiodactyla; Bovidae. The record is from RNAcentral.